Octodon degus (degu) is the source of this 707-nucleotide long non-coding RNA. RefSeq lists it as uncharacterized. Lineage: Eukaryota; Metazoa; Chordata; Mammalia; Rodentia; Octodontidae. The record is from RefSeq and is a predicted model, not a curated record. The transcript has 2 exons.
GGAGAGAAGGCAGCAGCAGGCAGCACUGCCACCUCACAUGCAAAUCAGCCCUGGGAGUGCAGCUGGACUUCUCCUGCUGCUCCCAGGCAAUGCUCCUGGGCAGGCCCUGUGAAAGAUGCCAUCCUGGUCGCUGUGUGCUCAUCCUGGUCCUUGGUCUCCUGUGUGACAUUGUGGGCCUCAUCCUUUUGCUGCUGGGCAUCUUUGCCACACUGAAUUAUUGGGACUUCUUGGUCUAUACAGGGGCCCUGUUCCUGGCUUUCAGCCUGCUCUUCUGGGUCUCCUGGUAUACCUUCAACAUUGAAGUGCCUCUUGACAAACUGGACUUGUAGCUUGGCCAUGGACAGAGAAGAGAUGCAUGUGCUAUAUGCAGCCAUGAACUUGGGGCCAGCAGGCAGCAAUGUGCUGCAGUUCCCACCCAGGAUGUCCCAUGGGGACCAGAUCCUGUCUGAUGGAGAUGGAAGACAAGAUGCUCCCUCUUUGCAGCAUAUCCUCUGACAAUAUCCAGGAGGAGCAGGAGGCUGAAGUGCCACAGUUUUUGGAGCACGCGCAAGGAUGAUGCAAAUGUCUAUGAAUGCCAUACUCCACCUAGAGCCAGAAGCACUCUGCCAGGCCGCCGCCAUCGCUGCUGCUGCUCCAGCUGUUGGUGGAGAGCCUGAGAAGCUGUGAAGUCUUCCUGGUGUGAUUUUUUACAGCAGCAUCGCUGCUGU